RNAcentral lists this ribosomal RNA (919 nucleotides) under human gut metagenome. RNAcentral describes it as "bacterial SSU rRNA". It matches the Rfam family "Bacterial small subunit ribosomal RNA", at positions 395 to 1321 of the family's 1533-position model. The record is from RNAcentral.
CGCCGCGUGCGGGAUGACGGCCUUCGGGUUGUAAACCGCUUUUGACUGGGAGCAAGCCCUUCGGGGUGAGUGUACCUUUCGAAUAAGCACCGGCUAACUACGUGCCAGCAGCCGCGGUAAUACGUAGGGUGCAAGCGUUAUCCGGAAUUAUUGGGCGUAAAGGGCUCGUAGGCGGUUCGUCGCGUCCGGUGUGAAAGUCCAUCGCUUAACGGUGGAUCCGCGCCGGGUACGGGCGGGCUUGAGUGCGGUAGGGGAGACUGGAAUUCCCGGUGUAACGGUGGAAUGUGUAGAUAUCGGGAAGAACACCAAUGGCGAAGGCAGGUCUCUGGGCCGUCACUGACGCUGAGGAGCGAAAGCGUGGGGAGCGAACAGGAUUAGAUACCCUGGUAGUCCACGCCGUAAACGGUGGAUGCUGGAUGUGGGGACCAUUCCACGGUCUCCGUGUCGGAGCCAACGCGUUAAGCAUCCCGCCUGGGGAGUACGGCCGCAAGGCUAAAACUCAAAGAAAUUGACGGGGGCCCGCACAAGCGGCGGAGCAUGCGGAUUAAUUCGAUGCAACGCGAAGAACCUUACCUGGGCUUGACAUGUUCCCGACAGCCGUAGAGAUACGGUCUCCCUUCGGGGCGGGUUCACAGGUGGUGCAUGGUCGUCGUCAGCUCGUGUCGUGAGAUGUUGGGUUAAGUCCCGCAACGAGCGCAACCCUUGUCCUGUGUUGCCAGCACGUCGUGGUGGGAACUCACGGGGGACCGCCGGGGUCAACUCGGAGGAAGGUGGGGAUGACGUCAGAUCAUCAUGCCCCUUACGUCCAGGGCUUCACGCAUGCUACAAUGGCCGGUACAACGGGAUGCGACACCGCGAGGUGGAGCGGAUCCCUUAAAACCGGUCUCAGUUCGGAUUGGAGUCUGCAACCCGACUCCAU